GAUGAACGCUGGCGGCGUGCCUAAUACAUGCAAGUCGAGCGAACGGACGAGAAGCUUGCUUCUCUGAUGUUAGCGGCGGACGGGUGAGUAACACGUGGAUAACCUACCUAUAAGACUGGGAUAACUUCGGGAAACCGGAGCUAAUACCGGAUAAUAUUUUGAACCGCAUGGUUCAAAAGUAAAAGACGGUCUUGCUGUCACUUAUAGAUGGAUCCGCGCUGCAUUAGCUAGUUGGUAAGGUAACGGCUUACCAAGGCAACGAUGCAUAGCCGACCUGAGAGGGUGAUCGGCCACACUGGAACUGAGACACGGUCCAGACUCCUACGGGAGGCAGCAGUAGGGAAUCUUCCGCAAUGGGCGAAAGCCUGACGGAGCAACGCCGCGUGAGUGAUGAAGGUCUUCGGAUCGUAAAACUCUGUUAUUAGGGAAGAAUAUAUGUGUAAGUAACUGUGCACAUCUUGACGGUACCUAAUCAGAAAGCCACGGCUAACUACGUGCCAGCAGCCGCGGUAAUACGUAGGUGGCAAGCGUUAUCCGGAAUUAUUGGGCGUAAAGCGCGCGUAGGCGGUUUUUUAAGUCUGGUGUGAAAGCCCACGGCUCAACCGUGGAGGGUCAUUGGAAACUGGAAAACUUGAGUGCAGAAGAGGAAAGUGGAAUUCCAUGUGUAGCGGUGAAAUGCGCAGAGAUAUGGAGGAACACCAGUGGCGAAGGCGACUUUCUGGUCUGUAACUGACGCUGAUGUGCGAAAGCGUGGGGAUCAAACAGGAUUAGAUACCCUGGUAGUCCACGCCGUAAACGAUGAGUGCUAAGUGUUAGGGGGUUUCCGCCCCUUAGUGCUGCAGCUAACGCAUUAAGCACUCCGCCUGGGGAGUACGACCGCAAGGUUGAAACUCAAAGGAAUUGACGGGGACCCGCACAAGCGGUGGAGCAUGUGGUUUAAUUCGAAGCAACGCGAAGAACCUUACCAAAUCUUGACAUCCUUUGACAACUCUAGAGAUAGAGCUUUCCCCUUCGGGGGACAAAGUGACAGGUGGUGCAUGGUUGUCGUCAGCUCGUGUCGUGAGAUGUUGGGUUAAGUCCCGCAACGAGCGCAACCCUUAAGCUUAGUUGCCAUCAUUAAGUUGGGCACUCUAAGUUGACUGCCGGUGACAAACCGGAGGAAGGUGGGGAUGACGUCAAAUCAUCAUGCCCCUUAUGAUUUGGGCUACACACGUGCUACAAUGGACAAUACAAAGGGCAGCGAAACCGUGAGGUCAAGCAAAUCCCGUAAAGUUGUUCUCAGUUCGGAUUGUAGUCUGCAACUCGACUACAUGAAGCUGGAAUCGCUAGUAAUCGUAGAUCAGCAUGCUACGGUGAAUACGUUCCCGGGUCU
RNAcentral lists this ribosomal RNA (1372 nucleotides) under uncultured bacterium. RNAcentral describes it as "bacterial SSU rRNA". It matches the Rfam family "Bacterial small subunit ribosomal RNA", at positions 28 to 1381 of the family's 1533-position model. The record is from RNAcentral.